Molecule: non-coding RNA, 1307 nt
Organism: Heterocephalus glaber (naked mole-rat)
Lineage: Eukaryota; Metazoa; Chordata; Mammalia; Rodentia; Bathyergidae
Source: RefSeq, a predicted model, not a curated record
UGUACUUGUCUGGAUGAGCAAGUUUCCUGUGGGUCAAGUAGAACCCUCACAAGUCACCUGGGCUGGAACUGUCUCACCAAUAACCUGAUCAAGAAGGCUUCUUGGUAGGGGACGAAACCCAGCAUCAAGGGCCAUUGAGGGUAUCCUGAGGGCUGUGCUUGAAGGAGCUGGGAGAGUCCAGGCCACCACCUAACCACCACGAGGUGUGACCUUGAGCAAGUUACUUCACCUCUUCGUGCCUCAGUUUCCUCCUCUGUAAAACAGGGGCCAUAAUGGCACCCAGAAGAGAGGUGCCAUGAAGAGGAAGUGGGUUGAUCUGUGAAAAGCACAGAGAGCAUGGCCUAAGAAAAUGAGAGUUCUUGGUGUGUCAAACAAGAAGACAAAGCUGGCCUCAGUUGAACUGCACACUCCUUUCUUCCUCCUGCAGACCGCACACCCUAGUGGAAGAGCCAGAAGGAAGCAAGCAAGAAAUCAACAAAUGUUUUCCAAAGAUGACUACAGUCAGCCCUCCAUUCCAACAUGUUCUGCAUCUGUGGAUUCAAUCAACCACAGGUCAAGAAUAUUUGGGGAGAAAAUCAUGCAUGUAUCGAACAUGUAUAGAAUUUUUUCUUGUGGUGAUUCCCUAAACACUACACUAAAACAAGUAUUUACAUAGCAUUUACACUGUAUUAGGUAUUAUAAAUAAUCUAGAAAUGAUGUAAAGUAUAUGGGAGGAUAUAUAUGGGUGAUAUGCAAAUAGUGUCCAUAAGGGACUUGAGAGGUCUUGAAUUUUAGUAUCUGAGAAUGGAGUCUUGGAACCAAUCCUCAGGGAUGCUAACAGAUGACUAUAAUAGAAGGAACAUAAAAUGAGGGUAAAUUUAUAAAUACUGAUAGAACUGGGAUAGGGUGGUCAGGGAAGCCCUCUCUGGGGCCAUGACCUUGGGACUGAGAGCUAAGUGACAGAAAGCAUUAAAGAAAGCAAAGGUCAGGGGUAGCAGUUCUUUGCAAAAGAGAGAGAAAUCAACCCUGCUGGAGAGGAGUGAUCUGGAAUGAGUACAGUCGCAGAUAAAGUUGGAUGGGAGCCUUAAUCCUGCAGGCUGUGAUAAGGAAUUUGGAUCUUAUUCUAAGUGAGCUGGAGGGCAUUAAGUACUGACAGACCUGAUCUAACUGAGGCAUUAAAAAGAUUACUCUUGCUGCUGGAGAUAAGUAAGAGAAAACAGACUGGAGAAAAGUAAGGGAAGCAGAUUUCUGCCUUAAUCUUGGUGUGAGACCUAACUAACUCCAUUUUAAAAUUUGACUCCAUCUUGGAAUAAGACAGUAAAGUGGCC